UUUGAUAUGAAAAUUUAAACAAAUAUUACAAAGUCAUACUUUGAACUGCUUGUAAAACACUGUAUUCUCAAGUUAUUCUCCAACCACUAUACAUAUUUAACUGAAUAUUUUUUAUUUUUAGAUGGCAGUACAGCAGAUCACUCAAUACAUGCUGAGACAUGAAUUCACAUUUCUACCACUAUGCAAAAUAUCAACAUCCUACGUUGAAAAUGUACUAGACGAUACUGCUAAUAAUAAGGGUUUUGUGCAACGUGCGUGUAAUGGAUGGCAGUACUGCAGAUCACUGGAGGCAUGCUGAGACAUGAAUUAGCAUUUCUAUCACUAGGGAAAGUUACAACAUUUUCCGUUGAAAAUGGAAUAGAAGAUGGCAGUAUAUCAGAUCAAUCAAGGCACGCUGAGACACGAAUUCACAUUUCUACCACCAAGGAAAGAAUCAACAUGCUAUGUUGAAAAUGGACUAGAAGAUACUGAUAAUAAUAUUGGAUUUAUGCAAUGUGCGUGCAAUGGUUAUUGAAUAUAAUUGAUUCUAAAUUAAUAGCUGUGAAACAAUUGAGAUUUGUUAAAUAUCUGAAUAAAAUAAUAGUAAACACCUUUA
This is a long non-coding RNA of Rhopalosiphum padi (bird cherry-oat aphid), 595 nucleotides long. RefSeq lists it as uncharacterized. NCBI's taxonomy places the organism in Eukaryota, Metazoa, Arthropoda, Insecta, Hemiptera, Aphididae. The transcript has 3 exons. The record is from RefSeq and is a predicted model, not a curated record.